GUUUCUCUGUCACAUCAGACUUCUUCAAGAGCAGAGGAGGAGACGGACGAGGCACUCAGAGAAGGGCAGAAAUCUGCUUCACAGAUGUGCUCAGAAAUGAAUGAACUGAAGAGUUUUACCACCUGGCCCCAAACAAUCACAGGGAGAAGAAUGUUCUAGAAGAGCUUAGGUGGAGGUGGCACUCUAUCUGAGCACAUUCUGCAUCAGUGAGGAUGCCGUCAUCAAAGUUGGGGAGAAGAUCUUCAUUAACGAACAAGAGACCUGACAGAAGUCACCACCUGGAUUCUCGGGACUCAAAG
Molecule: long non-coding RNA, 299 nt
Organism: Lynx canadensis (Canada lynx)
Lineage: Eukaryota; Metazoa; Chordata; Mammalia; Carnivora; Felidae
Exons: 4
Source: RefSeq, a predicted model, not a curated record